This 363-nucleotide ribosomal RNA is filed under the name Salmonella enterica subsp. enterica serovar Poona. RNAcentral describes it as "partial 23S ribosomal RNA". It matches the Rfam family "Bacterial large subunit ribosomal RNA", at positions 1241 to 1604 of the family's 2925-position model. Lineage: Bacteria; Pseudomonadati; Pseudomonadota; Gammaproteobacteria; Enterobacterales; Enterobacteriaceae. The record is from RNAcentral.
CUGUAAGCCUGUGAAGGUGGCCUGUGAGGGUUGCUGGAGGUAUCAGAAGUGCGAAUGCUGACAUAAGUAACGAUAAAGCGGGUGAAAAGCCCGCUCGCCGGAAGACCAAGGGUUCCUGUCCAACGUUAAUCGGGGCAGGGUGAGUCGACCCCUAAGGCGAGGCCGAAAGGCGUAGUCGAUGGGAAACGGGUUAAUAUUCCCGUACUUGGUGUUACUGCGAAGGGGGGACGGAGAAGGCUAUGUUGGCCGGGCGACGGUUGUCCCGGUUUAAGCGUGUAGGUGUGUGUUCCAGGUAAAUCCGGUUCACUUUAACACUGAGGCGUGAUGACGAGGCACUACGGUGCUGAAGCAACAAAUGCCCUG